GACGAACGCUGGCGGCGUGCCUAAUACAUGCAAGUUGAGCGCUGAAGGUUGGUACUUGUACCAACUGGAUGAGCAGCGCACGGGUGAGUAACGCGUGGGGAAUCUGCCUUUGAGCGGGGGACAACAUUUGGAAACGAAUGCUAAUACCGCAUAAAAACUUUAAACACAAGUUUUAAGUUUGAAAGAGGCAAUUGCAUCACUCAAAGAUGAUCCCGCGUUGUAUUGGCUAGUUGGUGAGGAAAAGGCUCACCAAGGCGGUGAUACAUAGCCGACCGGAGAGGGUGGUCGGCCGCCUUGGGACUGAGACCGGGCCCAAACGCCUACGGGCGGCAGCAGUAGGGCAACGUCGGCAAUGGGCGAAAGUCUGACCGAGCUACGCCGCGUGAGUGAAGAAGGUUUUCGGAUCGUAAAACUCUGUUGGUAGAGAAGAACGUUGGUGAGAGUGGAAAGCUCAUCAAGUGACGGUAACUACACAGAAAGGGACGGCUAACUACGUG
Molecule: ribosomal RNA, 497 nt
Filed under: uncultured bacterium
Lineage: Bacteria
Description: partial 16S ribosomal RNA
Rfam family: Bacterial small subunit ribosomal RNA
Source: RNAcentral